UCUACAAAUAAGCUUGAAGCACUAACCAAUGUAGUGCCUGCUACUACAACUGGUACAGCUAUUCACAAAAGCAAAACAGCUAAUUAGCCAGCCAAAAUAAAGAAAACAUCCAGCGAACUUGAACAUGAACCAUAUAACAAAUAGCUUAGUCAAAGUAGGGAUGGCAAAAUUGAUCCGACCCGAUGGGUAUACACCCUAUCCGAAUCCGGUCAAACCC
Molecule: long non-coding RNA, 217 nt
Filed under: Elaeis guineensis (African oil palm)
Lineage: Eukaryota; Viridiplantae; Streptophyta; Magnoliopsida; Arecales; Arecaceae
Description: long non-coding RNA (EGUI_LNC073285)
Source: RNAcentral